CAGAAGGUAGUUUAUUAGAAUCCUAGCUUUGGGAGCUAGGGGUGGGAGUUCGAACCUCCUCCUUUUGA
Molecule: transfer RNA, 68 nt
Filed under: Danacetichthys galathenus
Lineage: Eukaryota; Metazoa; Chordata; Actinopteri; Beryciformes; Cetomimidae
Description: tRNA-Pro
Rfam family: tRNA
About the family: Transfer RNA (tRNA) molecules are approximately 80 nucleotides in length. Their secondary structure includes four short double-helical elements and three loops (D, anti-codon, and T loops).
Source: RNAcentral